UGAGGAAUAUUGGUCAAUGGGCGGGAGCCUGAACCAGCCAAGCCGCGUGAGGGAAGAAGGUACAGCGUAUCGUAAACCUCUUUUGUCAGGGAACAAAGGCGGGGACUAGUCCCCGGAUGAGGGUACCUGAAGAAAAAGCAUCGGCUAACUCCGUGCCCC
This 159-nucleotide ribosomal RNA is filed under the name uncultured bacterium. Its description in RNAcentral is "partial 16S ribosomal RNA". It matches the Rfam family "Bacterial small subunit ribosomal RNA", at positions 355 to 511 of the family's 1533-position model. The record is from RNAcentral.